GCACGGGUGAGUAACACGUAUCCAACCUGCCGUCUACUCUUGGACAGCCUUCUGAAAGGAAGAUUAAUACAAGAUGGCAUCAUGAGUCCGCAUGUUCACAUGAUUAAAGGUAUUCCGGUAGACGAUGGGGAUGCGUUCCAUUAGAUAGUAGGCGGGGUAACGGCCCACCUAGUCUUCGAUGGAUAGGGGUUCUGAGAGGAAGGUCCCCCACAUUGGAACUGAGACACGGUCCAAACUCCUACGGGAGGCAGCAGUGAGGAAUAUUGGUCAAUGGGCGAGAGCCUGAACCAGCCAAGUAGCGUGAAGGAUGACUGCCCUAUGGGUUGUAAACUUCUUUUAUAAAGGAAUAAAGUCGGGUAUGCAUACCCGUUUGCAUGUACUUUAUGAAUAAGGAUCGGCUAACUCCGUGCCAGCAGCCGCGGUAAUACGGAGGAUUCGAGCGUUAUCCGGAUUUAUUGGGUUUAAAGGGAGCGUAGAUGGAUGUUUAAGUCAGUUGUGAAAGUUUGCGGCUCAACCGUAAAAUUGCAGUUGAUACUGGAUAUCUUGAGUGCAGUUGAGGCAGGCGGAAUUCGUGGUGUAGCGGUGAAAUGCUUAGAUAUCACGAAGAACUCCGAUUGCGAAG
Molecule: ribosomal RNA, 622 nt
Filed under: uncultured Bacteroidales bacterium
Lineage: Bacteria; Pseudomonadati; Bacteroidota; Bacteroidia; Bacteroidales
Description: bacterial SSU rRNA
Rfam family: Bacterial small subunit ribosomal RNA
Source: RNAcentral